Mauremys reevesii (Reeves's turtle) is the source of this 1017-nucleotide long non-coding RNA. RefSeq lists it as uncharacterized. The record is from RefSeq and is a predicted model, not a curated record. The transcript has 9 exons. NCBI's taxonomy places the organism in Eukaryota, Metazoa, Chordata, Testudines, Geoemydidae.
GUUGGUGGAACCUGGGCGCUGGGGAAGGGAGCGGGGACCCGGCAGCCCCGGGCGCUCCGCAAGUGGUGAGCAAUUUGGCCUGCUGAUAGGAUGUUACCUCUUUUUUCCUGCUGCCACCUUGGAUGACUUGUCCAGAGUCUUUACAAAUUACUAUUGGCAAUGUUGAAAUGUGAGUAGCGAUACUGGGAGGACCCAACCUACCCCUUGCGCCAUUGGCUCAUGAAGGCAUCCACCUCAACAGCACCCAGGAAAGAUUCAGCUACCAGCUCAGCAUGUGCAGAAUGACAGUUGGGUGCAUAGGCGGCAGCGUGAAAUGUUGGAGCAAAAAAUGGACGACCUACUGAGUCAUCAGAGACAAUUUGUCGAAAAUAAUCGUCGGUCCUUAGAACAGAAAAUAAAAGAAAAGGAAAAGUCUUCUACAUUUCUAAGAAGUGUUUCAUCAGCUACAUGACUUACUGACAGGGGAUCUGCCGUGCGACCAGAUAAACCAGGACUUGCAGCAAGCCAACGAUGCUCUACGAGCAGAACUCAACAAAGAAAUGGAGGAAAAAAACCUUCUUCGCUGCCAGUCUGAUCAAAAAUCUCAAGAAAUCCAUCAGCUGCAAGAAGAACUGAAAACAGCUAAACAGUUUCUGAAGGAGACCCAGAAUUAUGCGGAAGAGAUGAAAAGUGCUGAUGAGGUUGCCAUCUACCUACAUUCACUGACCCAGGACAACGAGCCAGAGUAUGAGCCAGACGGACUCCCAGAGGUGGUCAGAAAAGGCUUUGCUGAUAUUCCUACUGGGAAAACCAACCCCUGUGUUUUGCGCAGAACAGCGCUAAACCUAAAGACCAGUGCCCGUCUUGCUGCUCAAAGCCAAAAUUUGUCACCAUAUGGCCAACGUUUACAAAAAGGCAGGUCAGCUAAUUUUGCCAAGAUCUCUAAACCGACAGCUGGUGGCAGCAAAUCACCAAAGGUAGAUGAUACUCAGCAGUGCCAAGCAGAAACAGCUAUUGAACCCAUGGAAUCUAGUUCAA